This 74-nucleotide transfer RNA is filed under the name Planctomycetota bacterium. Its description in RNAcentral is "Planctomycetes bacterium (freshwater metagenome) tRNA-Pro". It matches the Rfam family "tRNA". Rfam says of the family: Transfer RNA (tRNA) molecules are approximately 80 nucleotides in length. Their secondary structure includes four short double-helical elements and three loops (D, anti-codon, and T loops). Further hydrogen bonds mediate the characteristic L-shaped molecular structure. tRNAs have two regions of fundamental functional importance: the anti-codon, which is responsible for specific mRNA codon recognition, and the 3' end, to which the tRNAs corresponding amino acid is attached (by aminoacyl-tRNA synthetases). tRNAs cope with the degeneracy of the genetic code in two manners: having more than one tRNA (with a specific anti-codon) for a particular amino acid; and 'wobble' base-pairing, i.e. permitting non-standard base-pairing at the 3rd anti-codon position. The record is from RNAcentral. Lineage: Bacteria; Pseudomonadati; Planctomycetota.
CAGGAUGUGGGAAAGUCUGGAAAUCCGCCGGCCUUGGGUGCCGGAGAGCGUGGGUUCGAAUCCCACCGUCCUGA